CAGGGAGACAACAAAAUGUUUAAUAUUAUUAUUUUGUCACCUUAGGUCGAUCGGUAUCUCACAUUCUUAAUUUAUUAAGAAUUUCAUUUCCUAAGUUUUUCUAGGUCACACCCAUUAUUUUCCUGGGCCAUUAGCUCAGGUGGUUAGAGCGCACCCCUGAUAAGGGUGAGGUCCCUGGUUCAAGUCCAGGAUGGCCCAUAUCUCUAUGUUGGGGGUAUAGCUCAGUUGGUAGAGCGCCUGCUUUGCAAGCAGGAUGUCAGCGGUUCGAGUCCGCUUACCUCCACUGAUUACCACCUCUUCCAUAAUCUGUAGAAAGGAAAAUUUUUUGAGUUGUGAUCAUUAUUCUGAACGAAUCUAGCUUCCUAAUGAAACCAUUAAGAUGCUGGACUCAUUGAAUUAAUUUCAUUGUUUUCAGAGAACCUUGACAACUGCAUAGAUUAUUUUUAAAGACAAUAAGCAUCUUUAAUGAUGCAGAUUUAUUAUUUGUGCAAAUGCAUUAAUAACAAUUCUAUUAAGCUGAUGCUUCAAUUAUGAAGUUAUU
RNAcentral lists this transfer RNA (541 nucleotides) under uncultured Prochlorococcus sp. RNAcentral's name for it is "partial 16S-23S ribosomal RNA intergenic spacer". The stretch from base 211 to 283 matches the Rfam family "tRNA". The record is from RNAcentral. Lineage: Bacteria; Bacillati; Cyanobacteriota; Cyanophyceae; Synechococcales; Prochlorococcaceae.